UGAUUUCCUACCGACAGUGCGUGUUGA
Molecule: small RNA, 27 nt
Filed under: Bombyx mori (domestic silkworm)
Lineage: Eukaryota; Metazoa; Arthropoda; Insecta; Lepidoptera; Bombycidae
Description: ovarian small RNA-33184
Source: RNAcentral